RNA transcript from Physeter macrocephalus (sperm whale), 928 nucleotides. It is a transcript of the gene named ATP synthase membrane subunit e, with no coding region annotated. The record is from RefSeq and is a predicted model, not a curated record. The transcript has 6 exons. NCBI's taxonomy places the organism in Eukaryota, Metazoa, Chordata, Mammalia, Artiodactyla, Physeteridae.
CCUGAGCCAGGUUGGAUGGCCCCCCCCGACCCCCGCCCCCGCAGUCCCCAGGAAGGACUCUGGGCCAAUGUGGGUCUCCCCAGCUCCAGGGGUCUUCCCUGGGCGGUUUCCGUAAGCGUGUGUUCCUGGGCCUGUGCGUGCCCUCCGCUGGCCGCCACUCCCCCCCGCACCGUGGAAGCUACUGAGGGCAGCAGAAGUGAGAGUGAGGGCCUGUCUGAUGUGAACCUUGAAGCUUGGGGCUGCAUGACCCUGAGCGCCGGAGUCGGGGAGACCGAGGGAGCAGGCUCUGCUAGGGUGGCCUUCUCAGGAAGACCUGAGCCCCCUUCUGCUGGAGAGGCUCCUAAGGCCUCGAUUUGUGCUCAACCUGGUCCGAAAACGUCAGUGCCUGGAGGCGUCGCACCCGCUCUGGGGAACCAGCACGUGCCGCCUGGGCCACUGCGCAUGCGGAGCCAGUCGCGAGCCGCGCGCCUGGUGACGUCACCCCUCCGCGAACGGGAGCGCGCGCCGUUCUCCCUCCGGCCGCCAGGGGGCGGCUCCGGCGCCUUCUCGCUGCUGACGGCGCAUGCGCCCACGGUGAGCUUCUGCGUCUCCAACAUUUUCCGGGCCCUUGCGGCGUCCUCCUCGGUCCAGGUUGUGCUUCCGGUGCGAAGGUCACGGACAAGAUGGUUCCGCCAGUGCAGGUUUCUCCGCUCAUCAAGCUCGGCCGUUACUCCGCCUUGUUCCUCGGCGUGGCCUACGGAGCCAAGCGCUACAAUUACCUGAAACCCCGGGCAGAGGAGGAGAGGAGGAUAGCAGCUGAGGAGAAAAAGAAGCAGGAUGAGCAGAGACGCAUUGAGAGAGAGCUGGCAGAAGCCCGAGAGGACAGCAUAUUAAAGUGAGCCUGCCUUUCCCCGGAGCAGUGUGGGUGAAUAAAGCCUCCUGUACUGUG